Molecule: ribosomal RNA, 460 nt
Filed under: uncultured bacterium
Lineage: Bacteria
Description: partial 16S ribosomal RNA
Rfam family: Bacterial small subunit ribosomal RNA
Source: RNAcentral
CCUACGGGUGGCAGCAGUGAGGAAUAUUGGUCAAUGGGCGUAAGCCUGAACCAGCCAAGUCGCGUGAGGGAUUAAGGUCCUAUGUAUUGUAAACCUCUUUUAUAUGGGAAUAAAGUGCUCCACGUGUCUUGUUUUGUAUGUACCUUAUGAAUACGCAUCGGCUAACUCCGUGCCAGCAGCCUCGGUAAUACGGAGGAUACGAGCGUUAUCCGGAUUUAUUGGGUUUAAAGGGUGCGUAGGUGGACUUUGAAGUCAGUGGUGAAAGGCUGUGGCUCAACCGUAGAAUUGCCGUUGAAACUGGCAGGCUUGAGUAUAGUAGAGGCGGGCGGAAUUCGUGGUGUAGCGGUGAAAUGCUUAGAUAUCACGCAGAACUCCGAUUGCGAAGGCAGCUUACCGAACCGCGACUGACGCUGAUGCACGAAAGCGUGGGUAUCAAACAGGAUUAGAUACCCGAGUAGUC